GACGAACGCUGGCGGCGUGCUUAACACAUGCAAGUCGAACGGAAAGGCCCUGCUUUUGUGGGGUGCUCGAGUGGCGAACGUGUGAGUAACACGUGAGUAACCUUCCUUUGACUUUGGGAUAACUUCAGGAAACUGGUGCUAAUACCUGAUUGGAGCUCCUGCUGCAUGGUGGGGUUUGGAAAGUUUCGGCGGUUGGGGAUGGACUGGCGGCUUAUCAGCUUGUUGGUGGGGUAGUGGCUUACCAAGGCUUAGAUGGAUAGCCGGCAUGAGAGGGUGAACGGGGACAUGGGGACUGAGAGACGGACCAGACGCCUACGGGAGGCAGCAGUGGGGAAUAUGGCACAAUGGGCGGAAGCGUGAUGAAGAAGCGCCGCGAGCGGGAUGAAGGCCUUGGGGGGGUAAACCGCUGUAGCCUGUGACGAAGCGGGAGUGACGGUAAUAGGUAAAGAAGCACCGGCUAACUACGUG
Molecule: ribosomal RNA, 468 nt
Filed under: uncultured bacterium
Lineage: Bacteria
Description: partial 16S ribosomal RNA
Rfam family: Bacterial small subunit ribosomal RNA
Source: RNAcentral